This 27-nucleotide ribosomal RNA is filed under the name uncultured fungus. RNAcentral's name for it is "partial 5.8S ribosomal RNA". Lineage: Eukaryota; Fungi. The record is from RNAcentral.
AACUUUUAGCAACGGAUCUCUUGGCUC